UACAGAGGGGGCAAGCGUUGUUCGGAAUUACUGGGCGUAAAGGGCGCGUAGGCGGCCUUCUAAGUCGAACGUGAAAUCCCCGGGCUCAACCGGGGAACUGCGUCUGAGACUGGAAGGCUUGAAUUCGGGAGAGGGAUGUGGAAUUCCAGGUGUAGCGGUGAAAUGCGUAGAUAUCUGGAGGAACACCGGUGGCGAAGGCGGCAUCCUGGACCGAUAUUGACGCUGAUGCGCGAAAGCCAGGGGAGCAAACGGG
RNAcentral lists this ribosomal RNA (253 nucleotides) under uncultured bacterium. RNAcentral describes it as "partial 16S ribosomal RNA". It matches the Rfam family "Bacterial small subunit ribosomal RNA", at positions 524 to 776 of the family's 1533-position model. The record is from RNAcentral.